GUGCCAGCAGCCGCGGUAAAACGUAGGAGGCGAGCGUUAUCCGGAUUUACUGGGCGUAAAGCGCACGCAGGCGGCUCCGUGAGUCGGACGUGAAAGCUCUCGGCUUAACCGGGAGAGGCCGUUCGAUACUGCGGGGCUUGAGGUAGGGAGAGGAAUGCGGAAUUCCCGGUGUAGUGGUGGAAUGCGUAGAUAUCGGGAGGAACACCUGUGGCGAAAGCGGCAUUCUGGCCCUCACCUGACGCUGAGGUGCGAAAGCGUGGGUAGCAAACAGGAUUAGAUACCCCAGUAGUCC
This 292-nucleotide ribosomal RNA is filed under the name uncultured bacterium. RNAcentral describes it as "partial 16S ribosomal RNA". It matches the Rfam family "Bacterial small subunit ribosomal RNA", at positions 505 to 796 of the family's 1533-position model. The record is from RNAcentral.